UAAUACCCCAUAGGUUAGAGAUGCUGGAAUGCCCUUUAACCCAAAGCUCCGGCGCCUUAGGAUGGAUCUGCGGCCGAUUAGGUAGUUGUUGGGGUAACGGCCCAACAAGCCUGUAAUCGGUACGGGUUGUGGGAGCAAGAGCCCGGAGAUGGACUCUGAGACACGAGUCCAGGCCCUACGGGGCGCAGCAGGCGCGAAAACUUUACAAUGCAGGAAACUGUGAUAAGGGAACCCCGAGUGCCCGUAUACGCGGGCUGUCCAGGUGUGUAAAAAGCAUCUGAAGAAAGGGCCGGGCAAGACCGGUGCCAGCCGCCGCGGUAAUACCGGCGGCUCGAGUGGUGGCCACUAUUACUGGGCUUAAAGCGUUCGUAGCUUGGUUGUUAAGUCUCUUGGGAAAUCUCACGGCUCAACCGUGAGGCGUCUAAGGGAUACCGGUAACCUAGGGACCGGAAGAGGUGAGAGGUACUCCAGGGGUAGGAGUGAAAUCCUGUAAUCCUUGGGGGACCACCUGUGGCGAAGGCGUCUCACCAGGACGGCUCCGACAGUGAGGGACGAAAGCUGGGGGAGCAAACCGGAUUAGAUACCCGGGUAGUCCCAGCCGUAAACGAUGCGCGUUAGGUGUAUCGGUGACCACGAGUCACCGAGGUGCCGAAGGGAAACCGUGAAACGCGCCGCCUGGGAAGUACGGUCGCAAGGCUGAAACUUAAAGGAAUUGGCGGG
Molecule: ribosomal RNA, 720 nt
Filed under: uncultured archaeon
Lineage: Archaea
Description: bacterial SSU rRNA
Rfam family: Archaeal small subunit ribosomal RNA
Source: RNAcentral